CCUACGGGAGGCAGCAGUGGGGAAUAUUGCACAAUGGGCGACAGCCUGAUGCAGCAACGCCGCGUGAGCGAUGAAGGCCUUCGGGUCGUAAAGCUCUGUCCUCAAGGACGAUAAUGACGGUACCUGAGUAGGACGCCCCGGCUAACUACGUGCCAGCAGCCGCGGUAAUACGUAGGGGGCUAGCGUUAUCCGGAUUUACUGGGGGUAAGGGGUGCGUAGGUGGUUUCUUAAGUCAGAGGUGAAAGGCUACGGCUCAACCGUAGUAAGCCUUUGAAACUGGGGAACUUGAGUGCAGGAGAGGAGAGUGGAAUUCCUAGUGUAGCGGUGAAAUGCGUAGAUAUUAGGAGGAACACCAGUUGCGAAGGCGGCUCUCUGGACUGUAACUGACACUGAGGCACGAAAGCGUGGGGAGCAAACAGGAUUAGAUACCCGAGUAGUC
Molecule: ribosomal RNA, 439 nt
Filed under: uncultured bacterium
Lineage: Bacteria
Description: partial 16S ribosomal RNA
Rfam family: Bacterial small subunit ribosomal RNA
Source: RNAcentral